Ictidomys tridecemlineatus (thirteen-lined ground squirrel) is the source of this 69-nucleotide non-coding RNA. The record is from Rfam. Lineage: Eukaryota; Metazoa; Chordata; Mammalia; Rodentia; Sciuridae.
AGAGUUGUGGCUCAGAGGUAGAGUGCUUGCCUACUAUGCAUGAGGCACUGGGUUCGAUCCUCAGCACUA